UACGGGGGGGGUAAGCGUUGUUCGGAAUUACUGGGCGUAAAGGGCUCGUAGGCGGCCAACUAAGUCAUACGUGAAAUCCCUCAGCUUAACUGGGGAACUGCGUGUGAUACUGGAUGGCUUGGAUUUGGGAGAGGGGUGCGGAAUUCCAGGUGUAGCGGUGAAAUGCGUAGAUAUCUGGAGGAACACCGGUGGCGAAGGCGGCAUCCUGGACCAAUAUUGACGCUGAGGAGCGAAAGCCAGGGGAGCAAACGGG
Molecule: ribosomal RNA, 253 nt
Filed under: uncultured bacterium
Lineage: Bacteria
Description: partial 16S ribosomal RNA
Rfam family: Bacterial small subunit ribosomal RNA
Source: RNAcentral